AUGGAGGGGGCAGCUCCUGCCCCAACCUUCCCCGCCACGCUCAGGGUCUGUGCAAACGCCCAGGACGCCGGUGAGCUUCCCCCGAACAGGACUGCAGAAUACGAGCGUGCCUCUAUGCAUCCCUAUACGCAUACGUAUACGUGUGUGUGCAUACAUUUCCCGCAGGCCAUUAUGCCAGGCGAACACAGUGAAAUGAGCCCUCACCUGACGCUGGCCAUUGCACGGCGCGAGCGGCACUUGGGGACCGGCCUCAGCGUGGCAAAGGCCCUGCAAACUCACCACUACUGGCAGCUCUGCCCUGACUGUGCAGCCAGUUACGUGCAAACACCAUCGCCGCUUUGGGAAAGAAGCAAAUUCAGCUGUGACCAGAUGAUGAUAUCCAGGGUGUGCAAUAUUAACGUUUUCCAGAAAGGAUUUCUUCAGCUUUUUUAUUACGAAGUUGCUGUGCGCUUGCUGGGAGGAGCUGGCUCAUGUUUGCUGGUGGCACCACUGCAUCGGUGCAUCACUGUGUCACUGCAUCGCUGCAUCACCGUGUUGCUGCAUCAGUGCACUGCUGCAUCGCUGCAUCACUGUGUCGCUGCAUUGCUGCAUCAGUGUGUUGCUGCAUCGCUGCAUUGGUGCGUCGCUGUGUCGCUGCAUCGAUGCAUUGCUGCAUCGGUGUGUUGCUGCAUUGGUGCAUCACUGUGUUGCUGUGUCGCUGCAUCGCUGCGCGCAGGGACAUCGGCUGCUCUGCGCUUCGCACGCCACCAUGCGCCGUUCGCCUCCCCAGCCUGGCGCCCGCAGGCUCUUAGGAAACCCCACGUCUCGCCCUCGGUUCGUCGAAAGGCCCCGGCGCGACGCUGCCGCUCGCACCAAGGGCCGGCGCUGGUGGCGUUCGUCCAGCCGCGCAUGCUGAAGCGCCGCCUUUUUGGUGAAUUCCCGCAGCACGGAUCCCGUAGGCUGCGCUCCGCGGCCUCCCGCGCACGUGCCGCGCCGCAUGCCGAGGCGCCUCACUCCCCCGCAGAGCUGCCCCUCCCUUGCAUUUCCCCUUAG
Molecule: long non-coding RNA, 1032 nt
Filed under: Apteryx haastii (Great spotted kiwi)
Lineage: Eukaryota; Metazoa; Chordata; Aves; Apterygiformes; Apterygidae
Description: lncRNA (ENSAHAG00000019604.1)
Source: RNAcentral